RNAcentral lists this ribosomal RNA (447 nucleotides) under uncultured bacterium. RNAcentral's name for it is "bacterial SSU rRNA". It matches the Rfam family "Bacterial small subunit ribosomal RNA", at positions 355 to 825 of the family's 1533-position model. The record is from RNAcentral.
UGGGGAAUUUUGGACAAUGGGCGCAAGCCUGAUCCAGCCAUGCCGCGUGCGGGAAGAAGGCCUUCGGGUUGUAAAGCUCUUUUGGCGGGGAAGAUAAUGACGGUACCCGCAGAAUAAGCUCCGGCUAACUUCGUGCCAGCAGCCGCGGUAAUACGAAGGGAGCUAGCGUUGUUCGGAAUCACUGGGCGUAAAGCACACGUAGGUGGGCAGUUAAGUCAGGGGUGAAAGCCCGAGGCUCAACCUCGGAAUUGCCUCUGAUACUGGCUGUCUAGAGUUCGAGAGAGGUGAGUGGAAUUCCUAGUGUAGAGGUGAAAUUCGUAGAUAUUAGGAAGAACACCGGUGGCGAAGGCGGCUCACUGGCUCGAUACUGACACUGAGGUGCGAAAGCGUGGGGAGCAAACAGGAUUAGAUACCCACGUAGUCCCUGAGCGGGCUGGCAAGGCGCAU